This 484-nucleotide ribosomal RNA is filed under the name uncultured bacterium. RNAcentral describes it as "partial 16S ribosomal RNA". It matches the Rfam family "Bacterial small subunit ribosomal RNA", at positions 899 to 1397 of the family's 1533-position model. The record is from RNAcentral.
ACUCAAAUGAAUUGACGGGGACCCACACAAGCGGUGGAGCAUGGGGUUUAAUUCGAUAGUAAGCGAAGAACCUCACCUAGGCUUGACAUCUCGGGAACCCUCCAGAAACGGAGGGGUGCCGCAAGGAGCCCGAAGACAGGCGCUGCACGGUUGUCGUCAGCUCGUGCCUUGAGGUGUACUGUUAAGUCAGCGAACGAGCGCAACCCUCAUCCUGUGUUGUUUUUUCACGGGAGACUGCCGCCUCCAAGGCGGAGGAAGGUGGGGAUGACGUCAAAUCAGCGUGGCCCUUAUGCCUAGGGCGACACCCGUGCUACAAUGGUCGGUACAGAGGGUAGCCAACCCGCGAGGGGGAGCCAAUCUCACAAAGCCGAUCUCAGUUCGGAUUGAAGUCUGCAACUCGACUCCAUGAAGUUGGAAUCGCUAGUAACCGUGAAUCAGCCACGUCACGGUGAAUAUGUUCCUGGGUCUUGUACACACCGCCCGU